Molecule: ribosomal RNA, 567 nt
Filed under: uncultured bacterium
Lineage: Bacteria
Description: bacterial SSU rRNA
Rfam family: Bacterial small subunit ribosomal RNA
Source: RNAcentral
GGAGCAUGUGGUUUAAUUCGAUGCAACGCGAAGAACCUUACCUACUCUUGACAUCCAGAGAACUUAGCAGAGAUGCUUUGGUGCCUUCGGGAGCUCUGAGACAGGUGCUGCAUGGCUGUCGUCAGCUCGUGUUGUGAAAUGUUGGGUUAAGUCCCGCAACGAGCGCAACCCUUAUCCUUUGUUGCCAGCGAUUCGGUCGGGAACUCAAAGGAGACUGCCGGUGAUAAACCGGAGGAAGGUGGGGAUGACGUCAAGUCAUCAUGGCCCUUACGAGUAGGGCUACACACGUGCUACAAUGGCGCAUACAAAGAGAAGCGACCUCGCGAGAGCAAGCGGACCUCAUAAAGUGCGUCGUAGUCCGGAUCGGAGUCUGCAACUCGACUCCGUGAAGUCGGAAUCGCUAGUAAUCGUGGAUCAGAAUGCCACGGUGAAUACGUUCCCGGGCCUUGUACACACCGCCCGUCACACCAUGGGAGUGGGUUGCAAAAGAAGUAGUAGCUUAACCCUUCGGGAGGGCGCUUACCACUUUGUGAUGCAUGACUGGGGUGAAGUCGUAACAAGGUAACC